Molecule: non-coding RNA, 321 nt
Organism: Paramuricea clavata
Lineage: Eukaryota; Metazoa; Cnidaria; Anthozoa; Malacalcyonacea; Plexauridae
Source: the annotation of a GenBank genome assembly
UAUUUCUUUGUGCUAUAUUAUAAAACAAAUAUAAAACAUUUUUCCGUAUUGAUAUACAGUUAUAUCAACACUCGUGGAAAUUAGGAAAACUCGUAAUUGUGCAUGUGAAAACACUCCACCCAUAUACCUGUAUAUAAACACGGAAAAUGUUUUAUAUUUGUUAAAUAUACACUGGAAAAAAAGUGAAAUCCAUACUACGAAAUUUGCAAUUGCACCACUAAAUCCACAGUUUAUCCACACUAUUUCCAUACUAUAUCCUACUAUAUCCAUACUAUAUCCAUACUAUGGAAAUAUACAAUUAUUAUGGAUAACCAAAAUCCA